RNAcentral lists this unclassified non-coding RNA (313 nucleotides) under uncultured fungus. RNAcentral describes it as "partial contains small subunit ribosomal RNA, internal transcribed spacer 1, and 5.8S ribosomal RNA". The stretch from base 1 to 73 matches the Rfam family "Eukaryotic small subunit ribosomal RNA", at positions 1759 to 1831 of the family's 1831-position model. Lineage: Eukaryota; Fungi. The record is from RNAcentral.
CCAAACUUGGUCAUUUAGAGGAAGUAAAAGUCGUAACAAGGUCUCCGUAGGUGAACCUGCGGAGGGAUCAUUAAUUGAGAUAAUUGGUGAUGUGUGCCGAUAUGAUUUAUGUAUUGGUACACGGAACAACAGCAGUAUGUGUAGUGUAGUGUAUAUACACUAUUCUAUACAUGCUGCAAGCAGUAUCUAUACUGCAGUGAUUAUGCAGUCACCUCGACUGAUAGUCUCACACACGAUAUAGUUGACAAAAAGACAAAAAGAGAAAACUUUUAACAAUGGAUCUCUUGGCUCUUGCAUCGAUGAAGAACGCAGC